CUGCUCCGCGCUCUGCACGUGGUUGGUGAUGGGGUUGCCGAGGUACUGGAGCUCGGAGCAGUAGGAGGCCAUGGCGAUCUCGGUGCCCUUGAAGCCGUAGUCAAGACUGGGGUUGCGGCUGCCGGCCAGGUUGGAGGUGAGGCCGUUGUUGUAGAACUCGUUCACGAGCUCGGAGAACUGCGCGAACAUGAGCUUCCCGAUGUUGGCGAUGGCGAGGCGGGCGUUGUCCAUGGACACGCCGAUGGGGGUGCCCUGGAAGUUGCCUCCGUGAAGCGCCUUGCCACGGUGGACGUCGAUGACCGGAUUGUCGUUGACCGAGUUGACCUCGCGCUCGAUGGACUUGGUGGCGGCGCGGAUGACCUCGAUCUGCGGGCCGAGCCACUGCGGCGACGUGCGGAGCGCGUACCUGUCCUGCUUGGGCUUGAGCAGCGGGUCCAGCUCGUUGACCUUCUUGGCGUGCUUCAUGAACUCGCUGCCCUCCAGGAUGUGCUCCAUGAUGGCGGCGGCCUCGAUGGAGCCCGG
This 522-nucleotide long non-coding RNA is filed under the name Setaria viridis. RNAcentral's name for it is "long non-coding RNA (SVIR_LNC001013)". Lineage: Eukaryota; Viridiplantae; Streptophyta; Magnoliopsida; Poales; Poaceae. The record is from RNAcentral.